AUUGAACGCUGGCGGCAGGCCUAACACAUGCAAGUCGAACGAGUGGCGGACGGGUGAGUAAUGUCUGGGAAACUGCCUGAUGGAGGGGGAUAACUACUGGAAACGGUAGCUAAUCCCGCAUACCAUCGGAUGUGCCCAGAUGGGAUUAGCUAGUAGGUGGGGUAAAGGCUCACCUAGGCGACGAUCCCUAGCUGGUCUGAGAGGAUGACCAGCCAAACUUGAACUGAGACACGGUCCAGACUCCUCCGGGAGGGAGCAGUGGGGAAUAUUGCACAAUGGGCGAAAGCCUGAUGCAGCCCUGCCGCGUGUAUGAAGAAGGCCUUCGGGUUGUAAAGUACUUUCAGCGGGGAGGCGUUACCCGCAGAAGAAGCACCGGCUAACUCCGUGCCAGCAGCCGCGGUAAUUC
This 406-nucleotide ribosomal RNA is filed under the name uncultured bacterium. RNAcentral describes it as "partial 16S ribosomal RNA". It matches the Rfam family "Bacterial small subunit ribosomal RNA", at positions 30 to 526 of the family's 1533-position model. The record is from RNAcentral.